AGAGUUUGAUCCUGGCUCAGAUUGAACGCUGGCGGCAUGCUUUACACAUGCAAGUCGAACGGCAGCGCGGGGCAACCUGGCGGCGAGUGGCGAACGGGUGAGUAAUAUAUCGGAACGUACCCAAGAGUGGGGGAUAACGUAGCGAAAGCUACGCUAAUACCGCAUACGAUCUACGGAUGAAAGCAGGGGACCGCAAGGCCUUGUGCUCCUGGAGCGGCCGAUAUCUGAUUAGCUAGUUGGUGAGGUAAAGGCUCACCAAGGCGACGAUCAGUAGCUGGUCUGAGAGGACGACCAGCCACACUGGAACUGAGACACGGUCCAGACUCCUACGGGAGGCAGCAGUGGGGAAUUUUGGACAAUGGGCGCAAGCCUGAUCCAGCAAUGCCGCGUGAGUGAAGAAGGCCUUCGGGUUGUAAAGCUCUUUUGCCAGGGAAGAAACGGCUGAGGCUAAUAUCCUCGGCUAAUGACGGUACCUGAAGAAUAAGCACCGGCUAACUACGUGCCAGCAGCCGCGGUAAUACGUAGGGUGCAAGCGUUAAUCGGAAUUACUGGGCGUAAAGCGUGCGCAGGCGGUUUUGUAAGUCUGUCGUGAAAGCCCCGGG
Molecule: ribosomal RNA, 602 nt
Filed under: uncultured freshwater bacterium
Lineage: Bacteria
Description: bacterial SSU rRNA
Rfam family: Bacterial small subunit ribosomal RNA
Source: RNAcentral